UCAAAGGCUCUUUUCAGAGCCACCCACAUCCGCGCUGAAGAGAGCU
Non-coding RNA from Heterocephalus glaber (naked mole-rat), 46 nucleotides. The record is from Rfam. NCBI's taxonomy places the organism in Eukaryota, Metazoa, Chordata, Mammalia, Rodentia, Bathyergidae.